RNAcentral lists this non-coding RNA (23 nucleotides) under Cricetulus griseus (Chinese hamster). Lineage: Eukaryota; Metazoa; Chordata; Mammalia; Rodentia; Cricetidae. The record is from RNAcentral.
UCAAAACUCCCGUGCUGAUCAGU